Molecule: ribosomal RNA, 313 nt
Filed under: uncultured Diversispora
Lineage: Eukaryota; Fungi; Glomeromycota; Glomeromycetes; Diversisporales; Diversisporaceae
Description: SSU rRNA
Rfam family: Eukaryotic small subunit ribosomal RNA
Source: RNAcentral
GCAGCCGCGGUAAUUCCAGCUCCAAUAGCGUAUAUUAAAGUUGUUGCAGUUAAAAAGCUCGUAGUUGAACUUCGGGAUUUACCCAUUGGUCAGGCUUAACUGUCUGUACUGGUGAGAUGAAUUCCUACCUUCUGAGGAAUCUUCAUGCCAUUUAGUUGGUGUGGGGGGGAAUCAGGACUGUUACUUUGAAAAAAUUAGAGUGUUUAAAGCAGGCUAACGUCUGAAUACAUUAGCAUGGAAUAAUGAAAUAGGACGGUUGGUUCUAUUUUGUUGGUUUCUAGGAUCACCGUAAUGAUUAAUAGGGAUAGUUGGG